GAAGCCUGGUUUUGGAUCAGUGUGACACCAGGAGCUUUUCCUGCCUCCCAGUCUGUGCACCAGCUUGCUUUGUGUUGUGGUCUAUCUUCAAUACUAAAUGGUGGAAUUCUUCUGAAGUAUGAGUUCUCUGACACAAAAGCAGCCUCAGCAACAUUUCUCCAACACUAAUGUGCUUCAGCUCUAGUGACUAUAAUGACUGUUUCUCUCCUAGGGUAAUGGUUUCUGCUGGGAGGAAAAAUUUCUGCUGGGAGGAAAAAUUCCUCAAAUUCAAAGCAAGAAGGACAGGCAUCUGCCAGAGUUUGUUUGUUUUGAAAAUUUACAGUACCUUGUGAAGAAACUUGCUGUGCCAGAAAAACUGAAAGCAAAAGUAGGGAGGUCCAAUAUAUAUUCCAUGCCAUGGUGAGUUGUUGGGGUUGUGUCUUUCCUUAAACAAAAUAAAAAUAUUUUUUUUCAUUACA
RNAcentral lists this long non-coding RNA (458 nucleotides) under Pogona vitticeps (central bearded dragon). RNAcentral describes it as "lncRNA (ENSPVIG00000019946.1)". Lineage: Eukaryota; Metazoa; Chordata; Lepidosauria; Squamata; Agamidae. The record is from RNAcentral.